RNAcentral lists this ribosomal RNA (440 nucleotides) under uncultured bacterium. Its description in RNAcentral is "partial 16S ribosomal RNA". It matches the Rfam family "Bacterial small subunit ribosomal RNA", at positions 339 to 795 of the family's 1533-position model. The record is from RNAcentral.
CUACGGGCGGCAGCAGUGGGGAAUAUUGCACAAUGGAGGAAACUCUGAUGCAGCAACGCCGCGUGGAGGAUGACACUUUUCGGAGCGUAAACUCCUUUUAUAUAGGAAGAAGAUGACGGUACUAUAUGAAUAAGCGCCGGCUAACUCCGUGCCGAGCAGCCGCGGUAAUACGGAGGGCGCAAGCGUUACUCGGAAUCACUGGGCGUAAAGAGCGUGUAGGCGGAUUAAAAAGUCAGAAGUGAAAUCCUAUAGCUUAACUAUAGAACUGCUUCUGAAACUCUUAAUCUAGAAUAUGGGAGAGGUAGAUGGAAUUUCUGGUGUAGGGGUAAAAUCCGUAGAGAUCAGAAGGAAUACCGAUUGCGAAGGCGAUCUACUAGAACAUUAUUGACGCUGAGACGCGAAAGCGUGGGGAGCAAACAGGAUUAGAUACCCUUGUAGUC